This 442-nucleotide unclassified non-coding RNA is filed under the name Hevea brasiliensis (rubber tree). The record is from RNAcentral. Lineage: Eukaryota; Viridiplantae; Streptophyta; Magnoliopsida; Malpighiales; Euphorbiaceae.
GGGAGUGAAGGACAACUGGAUGAAUGCAAUUUGUUCUCAAGGCCAAUCUCUGUUAUCCCUUGAUAUUUCUUGCUCUGAUGUAACAAAUUCUGGAUUGGUUUUCCUUAAAGGGUGUCCCAACCUUCAGUGCUUGACAUCUAAUUACUGCGAUGAGAUCUCAGAAGUUGGUCUCGUACACUUAUCUGGUCUUUCAAAUUUGACUUCUUUAAGCUUUAAGAAAAACACAACUUUCACCGCAGAAGGGAUGAAAGCAUUUACGAACUUAGUCAACCUGAAACAUUUGGAUCUUGAGAGAUGCAUAGGGAUUCAUCGGGGGCUAGUUCAUUUGAAAGGAUUAACCAAACUUGAAUCUCUCAAUGUCAGAUACUGUAACUGGAUAAUGGAUUCAGAUAUGAAGUCUCUUUCAGGCCUUACAAACUUACAAGAGUUGCAAAUGUCGUGC